ACACAGGUGCUGCAUGGCUUGUCGUCAGCUCGUGUCGUGAGAUGUUGGGUUAAGUCCCGCAACGAGCGCAACCCUUGCCAUUAGUUGCUACAAAAGGGCACUCUAAUGGAACUGCCGGUGACAAACCGAAGGAAGGGGGGGAUGACUUCAAGUCCUCAUGGCCCUUUUGGGUGGGGCUUCCCACCUCAUACAAUGGGUGGUACAGAGGGUUGCCAACCCGCGAGGGGGAACUAAUCCCCAAAAGCCGCUCGUAGUCCGGAUCCCUCUCUGCAACUCGACUGCGUGAAGUUGGAAUCCCUAGUAAUCGCGGAUCAAAAUGGCGCGGUGAAUACCUUCCCGGGUCUGUUUCA
This 350-nucleotide ribosomal RNA is filed under the name uncultured beta proteobacterium. RNAcentral describes it as "bacterial SSU rRNA". It matches the Rfam family "Bacterial small subunit ribosomal RNA", at positions 1032 to 1381 of the family's 1533-position model. Lineage: Bacteria; Pseudomonadati; Pseudomonadota; Betaproteobacteria. The record is from RNAcentral.